UUUGUCCUUAGUGACUUCGGAAAAGGCUUUAAUGCCAAGUUCGCGCGCAAAUUCAUCCGAUGCCGGGUAGUGAAGCCAGUAGGAGAGAACGCGUAUGCUCUGGAGGACCUUAACGGCCGUCCCAUAGGAGUGUACCACGCCAAAGACCUGAGAAUGUAGUGAGGUGUGGGUGUGGCCUACGUUGGGCGCGGCAGAAGAAUACAGGGCACGCCGGCGGGUGCUCAAUAGUGUUCCGGAAUCCGGUGGGCAUGCCCACGCGUAUGUUGUCCCUCCUGGGACUGACGACAUACUCGUGGUGGUGUUCCAGUCCCACCUGAACGAUAGGUGGCCAGGGCUGAGGGCGACGCGCCAUCUAGCGGAAGUCCAGGGAGGCUCGAUGGUCGAUGGGGACAUCGGGGGGAGCUGGAGCCGUUACUGGGGAUAUAAGGAAGAGAAUAGGAUUAGUUAUAUGUAUUAGUAAGGGAAAAAGGGAUAAAUAGGAGUGAAAAGAUUAGAAAACGUGGAUUGGGUUAUGAAAAUCGUGGAGCGUGGACGGAGUCACGUCGAGAUCCGAAAUUGUGUGAAUAAAACAAACAGUUUGAAUUUGAACCGGCAAGGAAUACAGCCACUAGAACCGGGCCGGAAGAUUUCCUGGAGAGGAACACUGGAGUCCGAGAAAGUCGACUGCAGGGAAGAAGACGAUACAACGGGACCUGAGUGAGUUCGUUCCAGUUGCGCGUGUGUGAGCCAAGUAGCGCGGGACGUGUGAAGGGAGGGGGUGAAAGAGGUCGAGUGAGCGGCCAGGGCGAUUCUAGCCACACCGCACGAUCGUUGCAUCGCCGUCCAGUGCGUGCCACACGUUUGGGCUCUUUUACAAAGGGAAAACCUCGAAAUCCUAUUCACACACACACACACACACACGCGCACACGUAUACACGAACCUAGAUAAAUUUAGGGCUGACCGGCCACGGCCAGCGAUCAGCGAGCCCACGUUAUUGAACUUAAAGAAAAACAAAUAAUCCGCACUCCAAACACCGUUCCACUGUAAAUGUUAUUUUGUUCC
Molecule: long non-coding RNA, 1042 nt
Organism: Drosophila pseudoobscura
Lineage: Eukaryota; Metazoa; Arthropoda; Insecta; Diptera; Drosophilidae
Exons: 2
Source: RefSeq, a predicted model, not a curated record